This 468-nucleotide ribosomal RNA is filed under the name uncultured bacterium. Its description in RNAcentral is "partial 16S ribosomal RNA". It matches the Rfam family "Bacterial small subunit ribosomal RNA", at positions 28 to 507 of the family's 1533-position model. The record is from RNAcentral.
GACGAACGCUGGCGGUGUGCUUAACACAUGCAAGUCGAACGGAAAGGCCCUGCUUUUGUGGGGUGCUCGAGUUGCGAACGGGUGAGUAACACGUGAGUAACCUGCCCUUGACUUUGGGAUAACUUCAGGAAACUGGGUCUAAUACCGGAUAGGAGCUCCUGCUGCAUGGUGGGGGUUGGAAAGUUUCGGCGGUUGGUGAUGGACUCGCGUCUUAUCAGCUUGUUGGUGGGGUAGUGUAUUACCAAGGCUUUGACGGGUAGCCGGCCUGGGAGGGUAACCGGACAAAUUAGAAUUGGAAUACGACACAGACUACUACGGGAGGCAGCAGAGGAGAAUAGUACACAAUGGGAGGAAGCAUAAUGCAGCAACGCAACGUGCGGGAUGACGGCCUUCGGGUUGUAAACCAAUUUCGCCUGUGACGAGACGUGAAUGACGGUAAUGGGUGAAGAAGCACCGGCUAACUACGUG